RNAcentral lists this ribosomal RNA (253 nucleotides) under uncultured bacterium. RNAcentral's name for it is "partial 16S ribosomal RNA". It matches the Rfam family "Bacterial small subunit ribosomal RNA", at positions 524 to 776 of the family's 1533-position model. The record is from RNAcentral.
GACGAAGGUGGCGAGCGUUGUUCGGAAUCACUGGGCAUAAAGCGCACGUAGGCGGUGACGUAAGUCGGGUGUGAAAUCCCUCGGCCUAACCGAGGAACUGCGCCCGAUACUGCGUUGCUUGAGGACCCCAGGGGUGCAUGGAAUUUCCGGUGGAGCGGUGAAAUGCGUUGAUAUCGGAAGGAACUCCGGCGGCGAAAGCGGUGCACUGGGGGGUUUCUGACGCUGAGGUGCGAAAGCUAGGGGAGCAAACGGG